RNAcentral lists this non-coding RNA (148 nucleotides) under Nomascus leucogenys (northern white-cheeked gibbon). Lineage: Eukaryota; Metazoa; Chordata; Mammalia; Primates; Hylobatidae. The record is from Rfam by way of RNAcentral.
GCUGGGCGUGGUGGCGGGUGCCUGUAAUCCCAGCUACUUAGGAGGCUGAGGCAGGAGAAUUGCUUGAACUCGGGAGACAGAGGUUGCAGUGGGCCAAGAUCACGCCACUGCACUCCAGCCUGGGUGACAGAGCAAGACUCUGUCUCGA